AGAUUUUCGUAUUAUUAAAUUAUUUUUAAUAAUUCAGCAUUCGAAUCGGUAAUCAGCUUUCUUAAAUUAAUAUGACCUAUACUAUCUGAAAUAUAUAAAAAUUAAUUUUUAUAAUUUUUGACAUUACUGAUUUUUUAAAACAAAUAAUCUUAAAAUAAACGACUAAAAAUAAAAAUUUCAUAAAAAAAUUAGGAUAAAAGACUUAAAUUUCAGAUUAACUAUACUGAUCUUACUUUAAAUAAUAAAAAAAAAAUUCAUACCAUAAAAUUUACAAAUGCAUCACAUUGCCCAUUCCAAUUAUUAAUUUUGAAAAUAUUUUUAUCACUAGUCAAAUAAUGUCAAAAAGUAUAAAAUUUGAGUAUUAAAUACUUUUAAUUGUGUAAAUUAUAUCUAACGGAACUGAUUAUCGAUUUAAAUAUCUCAUCCUUAAAAAUAAUUUGAUAGUUUUGAUGCUUGCGUACUAUCGAAACUAACAAGUCGGACUCCCGUAUCAUAUAUAUUAACCCAUUAGUAACCCAUGUUAAUAUUUUGACCAUCAUCGACCGUCUCUGGAGCAAGUGGCAAAGGACUUAGUGGUUGGUACCCGAGGUCCUAAGUUCGAAUCCUAGUUGAUUCGUAUUUUCUAGCAAAUUAAGUUUAUCUCUAAAUGAAAUAAACGAAGCGGAUAGCGUGCUACCUAUCUCUCAAAAAAAAAAAAAAAUUUGACCAUCACGUGCGGUAGCU
RNAcentral lists this long non-coding RNA (723 nucleotides) under Ananas comosus (pineapple). Its description in RNAcentral is "long non-coding RNA (ACOM_LNC032215)". The record is from RNAcentral. Lineage: Eukaryota; Viridiplantae; Streptophyta; Magnoliopsida; Poales; Bromeliaceae.